GUCUACAGCCAUACCACCCUGACUGCGCCUGAUCUCGUCUGAUCUUAGAAGCUAAGCAGGAAGCAGGGUUGGGCCUGGUUAGUACUUGGAUGGGAAAGUAACCUGAGAGAGUAGGAAGAAAACA
Molecule: ribosomal RNA, 124 nt
Filed under: Sorex araneus (European shrew)
Lineage: Eukaryota; Metazoa; Chordata; Mammalia; Eulipotyphla; Soricidae
Source: RNAcentral